This 497-nucleotide ribosomal RNA is filed under the name uncultured bacterium. RNAcentral's name for it is "partial 16S ribosomal RNA". It matches the Rfam family "Bacterial small subunit ribosomal RNA", at positions 28 to 507 of the family's 1533-position model. The record is from RNAcentral.
GAUGAACGCUGGCGGCGUGCCUAAUACAUGCAAGUCGAGCGAACAGACGAGGAGCUUGCUCCUCUGACGUUAGCGGCGGACGGGUGAGUAACACGUGGAUAACCUACCUAUAAGACUGGGAUAACUUCGGGAAACCGGAGCUAAUACCGGAUAAUAUAUUGAACCGCAUGGUUCAAUAGUGCAAGACAGUUUUGCUGUCACUUAUAGAUGGAUCCGCGCCGCAUUAGCUAGUUGGUAAGGUAACGGCUUACCAAGGCAACGAUGCGUAGCCGACCUGAGAGGGUGAUCGGCCACACUGGAACUGAGACACGGUCCAGACUCCUACGGGAGGCAGCAGUAGGGAAUCUUCCGCAAUGGGCGAAAGCCUGACGGAGCAACGCCGCGUGAGUGAUGAAGGUCUUCGGAUCGUAAAACUCUGUUAUUAGGGAAGAACAAAUGUGUAAGUAACUAUGCACGUCUUGACGGUACCUAAUCAGAAAGCCACGGCUAACUACGUG